UACUCCUACGGGAGGCAGCAGUAGGGAAUCUUCCGCAAUGGGCGAAAGCCUGACGGAGCAACGCCGCGUGAGUGAUGAAGGUCUUCGGAUCGUAAAACUCUGUUAUUAGGGAAGAACAUAUGUGUAAGUAACUGUGCACAUCUUGACGGUACCUAAUCAGAAAGCCACGGCUAACUACGUGCCAGCAGCCGCGGUAAUACGUAGGUGGCAAGCGUUAUCCGGAAUUAUUGGGCGUAAAGCGCGCGUAGGCGGUUUUUAAGUCUGAUGUGAAAGCCCACGGCUCAACCGUGGAGGGUCAUUGGAAACUGGAAAACUUGAGUGCAGAAGAGGAAAGUGGAAUUCCAUGUGUAGCGGUGAAAUGCGCAGAGAUAUGGAGGAACACCAGUGGCGAAGGCGACUUUCUGGUCUGUAACUGACGCUGAUGUGCGAAAGCGUGGGGAUCAAACAGGAUUAGAUACCCUGGUAGUCCACGCCGUAAACGAUGAGUGCUAAGUGUUAGGGGGUUUCCGCCCCUUAGUGCUGCAGCUAACGCAUUAAGCACUCCGCCUGGGGAGUACGACCGCAAGGUUGAAACUCAAAGGAAUUGACGGA
This 591-nucleotide ribosomal RNA is filed under the name uncultured bacterium. RNAcentral's name for it is "bacterial SSU rRNA". It matches the Rfam family "Bacterial small subunit ribosomal RNA", at positions 334 to 917 of the family's 1533-position model. The record is from RNAcentral.